Molecule: long non-coding RNA, 1127 nt
Organism: Mastomys coucha (southern multimammate mouse)
Lineage: Eukaryota; Metazoa; Chordata; Mammalia; Rodentia; Muridae
Exons: 4
Source: RefSeq, a predicted model, not a curated record
GCAAAUUAACUCAAAAUCAAAUGGCUAAUGUUUUCAAGGAUUCUGUGUGGUUUGGCUUGGCCCAGGGAGUGACACUAUUAGGAGGUGUGGCCUUGUUAGAGUAGGCGUAGCCUUGUCAGAGGAAGUGUGUCACAUUGGGGGUGAGCUUUGAGACCCCCUUCUAGCUGUUUGGGAGACGGUCAGUCUCUCCUGACUAUCUUCCCAUGAAGAUAUAGAACUCUUAGCUCCUUCUCCAGCACCAUGCCUGCCUGGACACUGCCAUGCUUCCUGCCAUGAUGAUAAUGGACUGAACCUCUGAACCAGGGAUCCAGUAACUUUUAGGAGAGCUGGAGCAAAUGACCAGAGAAGGAAAGGCAUGGCACACCGAGACUACACUUGGCUUCCCAAGGCAAAUGCAAUGGAGCUAUGGAACAUUUGUUCUUUGUUUCCCUUAGAAUGAACGGUUUUGCCUGUUAUGAUUUAUUAGCUGUGUACUGCAUGUGUUUCUGGUGCCCACAGACAUCUGAAGAAGGCAUCAGGUGCUCUAGAACUGGGAAUGUGAUCCAUCCUGUGAGCUCUCUGCAAACAGCUCCUGUGCCUUCAACUACUGAGCCAUCUCUCUACCUUGCCUGUGUGUCCCAACCUCCAACUAAUAUUCCAGUGGCAUGGACACAUCACAGUUGGUUUAGCCAUUCAGGUAUUGGAGGAUAUUGGGAUUGUUCCCUUUGCCACCCAUCUUCUCAGGUCCCAAGGCUCUGCUUGAACUGGAAAUGACUUUGGUGUUCAUAAUUGUCAGGUCCUAGUCACUAUAUGAAAGAUAAGAGGAGAGGAAUAUGGUUGGUUUUCAAGUUAGACAUGACACAAAGCCAAAAAUGAUGAAACAAUAUCACCUAGGUACUGAAAGAAAACAGCAGCAACAGCAGCAGCAGUAACAACAGCAGCAGCAGCAACACCAGCACCAGCAGGAACGGCAGCAAUAGCAACAGCAGCAGCAACAUCAACAGCAGUAACAGCAAUGGCAACAACAGCACCACCAACAGCAACACCAGGACCAGCAGCAGUAGGAACGGCAGCAAUAGCAACAGCACCAGCACCAGCAACAGCAGUAACAGCAAUGGCAACAACAGCACCAGCAGCAACAGCACCAA